CCCUAGCCCAGACAGAAGCGGCAUCCUUUUUCUUGCGCAGCUGCGGAUGAAAAAGAUACAGCGGAUGGCAUGACAAUAA
Molecule: small RNA, 79 nt
Filed under: Flavobacterium araucananum
Lineage: Bacteria; Pseudomonadati; Bacteroidota; Flavobacteriia; Flavobacteriales; Flavobacteriaceae
Description: Flavo-1 RNA
Rfam family: Flavo-1 RNA
Source: RNAcentral